Non-coding RNA from Sphaerodactylus townsendi, 462 nucleotides. Lineage: Eukaryota; Metazoa; Chordata; Lepidosauria; Squamata; Sphaerodactylidae. The record is from the annotation of a RefSeq genome assembly.
AUGAUUCUUUGGAUCCAUUUAAUUGUCACGCUCUCUGCCUUCGGAGGUGUCCAUUCUGUUGUGAAUCUGGUGGAAUCUGGAGGGAGUGUGAAAAGGCCUGGUGAUACCCUUCAACUCACAUGCACAGCCUCGGGGUUCAGUGUAGACGGCUACUGGAUAUACUGGGUCCGUCAGGCUCCUGGAGAGGGGCUGGAGUGGAUUGCACAGAUCAUUAAAGGCACAAUGUCCUAUGCAGAUGCUAUUAAAGGCAGAUUCACAAUAUCUUCAGAUAGGCCAAGAAGUCUGACUUUUCUGAGUAUGACAAGCCUGAAAGCUGAAGACGCAGCUGUGUACUAUUGUGCCAGAGAAUCACACAUCUGGGAGAGUGAGAGCGGGGUUAGGGGGGGCAGGUUGUCCCAAGAGGACUUGCAAACCCCAAGAACCGGCUUGGUAGAUCUUUGGGGCCAUGGAAAACUGGUCCAA